AAACUAACAAGGAUUCCCCUAGUAGCGGCGAGCGAAGCGGGAAGAGCUCAAAUUUAUAAUCUGGCACCUUCGGUGUCCGAGUUGUAAUCUCUAGAAAUGUUUUCCGCGCUGGACCGCACACAAGUCUGUUGGAAUACAGCGGCAUAGUGGUGAGACCCCCGUAUAUGGUGCGGACGCCCAGCGCUUUGUGAUACAUUUUCGAAGAGUCGAGUUGUUUGGGAAUGCAGCUCAAAUUGGGUGGUAAAUUCCAUCUAAAGCUAAAUAUUGGCGAGAGACCGAUAGCGAACAAGUACCGUGAGGGAAAGAUGAAAAGCACUUUGGAAAGAGAGUUAACAGUACGUGAAAUUGUUGGAAGGGAAACGCUUGAAGUCAGACUUGCUUGCCGAGCAAUCGGUUUGCAGGCCAGCAUCAGUUUUCCGGGAUGGAUAAUGGUAGAGAGAAGGUAGCAGUUUCGGCUGUGUUAUAGCUCUCUGCUGGAUACAUCUUGGGGGACUGAGGAACGCAGUGUGCCUUUGGCGGGGGUUUCGACCUCUUCACACUUAGGAUGCUGGUGGAAUGGCUUUAAACGACC
Molecule: ribosomal RNA, 571 nt
Filed under: Rhodotorula mucilaginosa
Lineage: Eukaryota; Fungi; Basidiomycota; Microbotryomycetes; Sporidiobolales; Sporidiobolaceae
Description: eukaryotic LSU rRNA
Rfam family: Eukaryotic large subunit ribosomal RNA
Source: RNAcentral